Molecule: long non-coding RNA, 635 nt
Filed under: Marmota monax (woodchuck)
Lineage: Eukaryota; Metazoa; Chordata; Mammalia; Rodentia; Sciuridae
Source: RNAcentral
GACACAAUACCUAAUUCAUACUAGGGACUAAUCAACCAACUGAUGUGUUUAAAAGUAUUGAUUAUUUGAACAUGUAUUAUCUCAAAGGAAUAUUUCCUAGACAGAUGAAAUCUUGGUAUUCGAUUUAGGCAAAUGCUCUAUUAUACCUUGGUUUUAAAGUUUGUGCUUAAUUCAGUUAAAUAAUAAAUUCACUUAAACUAAUAGUUGAUUAGUAGUUAGCCACCCUUUCUGAGUGAAGAUGCUACUGAUACUAGAAAUGUAAUUAAUACUUGCAUUUUUGAAGAGAUAGGUAUCAUGGGGAAAAUGCUUUUUGGUUACUACUGUAUUUCUUUUUUAGCACAGAUAGUUUUGGUGUAAUUAUAUUAAAAAGGUAAAGCAAAAGAAUAAAUAAAAAGAAUAAUUUGUGUAUAACAUAGUAUGAAACAUUUGUUUAAGUCCAUGUAUAUUGAUUAGUCAGAAUAUUAGACAUUUUAAACAGGAGGAAGUGAAUUCUGUGGUUGGCAUAUAGCUAAUGGAGACCUAGAAAUCUUGGAUUCUUACCUUUCCUUUUGUGUAAUUAAGAGGAGUGCAAGCUCAUUUGAAUGCUUAAAAUGUCAAUAAUUAUUGGAUUACCACUUAGGAAAAUAAUUUGUUUU